RNAcentral lists this non-coding RNA (23 nucleotides) under Arabidopsis thaliana (thale cress). The record is from RNAcentral. Lineage: Eukaryota; Viridiplantae; Streptophyta; Magnoliopsida; Brassicales; Brassicaceae.
UUCCACUCCUACUGCAUACAAUC